UCUUCCUGAAGGCUUCCGGAAAGCUGUGGCUUUCCUAUGUAGGAAACCCAGCCCAGGCUGCAAGACCAGCAGAACAGGCUAAUUUUCAAUCCGAGGGCUGGCUUUUAUGAUGCCAUCAUUCCAGAACCCUGAGUUACUCAACGGCCAAUUCAACUUCAGAUUCAGCUCCGCUCGCCGAGACCCAGGGCCAGUGAGCGUCUCAGGGUAUUCCACUCAAUCCUCACAAGACCCUGCACGCUGGCGUUUAUUGCUCACAUUUCAUACAGGAUAACACUCAGGCUCAGAGGCGUGACCUACGCUGUCCAAGAAAGAGUACACGGCGGAUCUCGGGUCCGAACGCAGGAAUCCGCACCCCAAAGCUCAGGUUCCCAGCGCCCCCGGCCGGGGUCUGCUUACCCCACGACGCCUUUGCGCGGGUUAUAUGACCCCUCAAUACUCUCUUCAGCAAAACAAAGUCCACUCCUAAAAAGUGAUUUGUUAGCAUGCCAUCCAUGCCAAAGACCAACGAAGGGGCAGAAAGGCAGGAGGAGGCCUCCGAAAUGAGGGAAAAUGGUUCCCAGUACGUUGUUCAUGCUGGAUGGGACGCUCAUGAAGCCGCAGCUUCCAGGAGCUCUGCGAGUUCUGAUCCAAGUGAGGGACGUGGCAUUUUAUGAGAAACAGAACUGACUCCGGUGCCCAGGGCCUCUAGCACACUGGGGUAGACCCAGUCUCCCCUGGCUUUGGAACUCCUGGGGCCAAGGCAGGAAUGGGAGACACUGACAGGGAAUAAUCCAAGACUUAUCGUUGCCUAAGGACAUGCGCGGUAGGUGGGUGGUGGCCCAUGGCUUAGGGACUGGGGGAGAGAAAGGAGGUCUCAUUCAACUCCUUCCUUGCUCUGUGGGCUUAGGGAAAUGGCCAAAGCACAAACCAGAAUGAAGAAACGCCCCAGAACGUGUCACGGUCAGGGGCUGCGUGCCACAGCUUUUACGGAGUUUGCUGUCUGGUGGGAGGUUCCUGAUUUUUGGUGUGCUAAAGCCCAACUAGAUUUCAGAAGAAAAAAUUCCGAUGAAACUAAAAUUUCCACUGUGGAGUCACUGCCUGAGCAUUCUGCUGUUUUUGUCAUCUGAGAAAUGGGAUUUUAUUCAUAAAAACAAUUUACAUAAGUUUACAAAGCAUUCCCUCAUCAUCCCAUUUAAUCCUCAAAAAUCACACUCCAGGUACGCUUCCCCAUUCAUGACGAAGGUGUAACGUCCGAGAGGUUGAAUAACCUGCUUGCUACUGUCAUAAAGUCAGCAAUGACAACAGCCACACUGACCACCACGGUGACCAUGACAGCGUGACCACCCCAUGACUGACAUGAUCCCAGCCAUGGCCACAGCUAAGGUCCACACUCCACAUUUGGUCUCCAUUCCAAGCUAAUGUACAUCUAUAUCAUCAUUCCCAUUUUUGUAGAUGAGACAAUCCUGCUGGAGAUCACACAUCUAAUAAGUGAGAAAAACAGAACUGGAACCCGGAGCCGUCUGAUUCCAGGGCCUGAGCUCUAUCAACCCUUAUCGCUGCCAAAAGACCACAGGCUUGAGCUGCUCUUCUCUGGAUGAAUUGAUGGGGAGUUUCUUACACAGUUGGCCCUUGAACAACAUGGGUUUGAACUGCAUGGGUCCGUUUAUAUGUGAAUUUUUUUUCAACUAAACACGGAUGGAAAUUACUGUA
Microcebus murinus (gray mouse lemur) is the source of this 1689-nucleotide non-coding RNA. The record is from RefSeq and is a predicted model, not a curated record. Lineage: Eukaryota; Metazoa; Chordata; Mammalia; Primates; Cheirogaleidae.